AACGAACGCUGGCGGCAGGCCUAACACAUGCAAGUCGAGCGCGCCCUUCGGGGUGAGCGGCGGACGGGUGAGUAACGCGUGGGAACGUGCCCUUUUCUACGGAAUAGCCUCGGGAAACUGAGAGUAAUACCGUAUACGCCCCUUGGGGGAAAGAUUUAUCGGAAAAGGAUCGGCCCGCGUUGGAUUAGGUAGUUGGUGGGGUAAUGGCCUACCAAGGCGACGAUCCAUAGCUGGUUUGAGAGGAUGAUCAGCCACACUGGGACUGAGACACGGCCCAGACUCCUACGGGAGGCAGCAGUGGGGAAUCUUAGACAAUGGGGGCAACCCUGAUCUAGCCAUGCCGCGUGAGUGAUGAAGGCCUUAGGGUUGUAAAGCUCUUUCAGCUGGGAAGAUAAUGACGGUACCAGCAGAAGAAGCCCCGGCUAACUCCGUG
RNAcentral lists this ribosomal RNA (433 nucleotides) under uncultured bacterium. RNAcentral describes it as "partial 16S ribosomal RNA". It matches the Rfam family "Bacterial small subunit ribosomal RNA", at positions 29 to 507 of the family's 1533-position model. The record is from RNAcentral.